This 1175-nucleotide ribosomal RNA is filed under the name Pseudomonas sp. Its description in RNAcentral is "bacterial SSU rRNA". It matches the Rfam family "Bacterial small subunit ribosomal RNA", at positions 41 to 1217 of the family's 1533-position model. Lineage: Bacteria; Pseudomonadati; Pseudomonadota; Gammaproteobacteria; Pseudomonadales; Pseudomonadaceae. The record is from RNAcentral.
GGCGGCUACACAUGCAGUCGAGCGGUAGAGAGAAGCUUGCUUCUCUUGAGAGCGGCGGACGGGUGAGUAAUGCCUAGGAAUCUGCCUGGUAGUGGGGGAUAACGUCCGGAAACGGACGCUAAUACCGCAUACGUCCUACGGGAGAAAGCAGGGGACCUUCGGGCCUUGCGCUAUCAGAUGAGCCUAGGUCGGAUUAGCUAGUUGGUGGGGUAAUGGCUCACCAAGGCGACGAUCCGUAACUGGUCUGAGAGGAUGAUCAGUCACACUGGAACUGAGACACGGUCCAGACUCCUACGGGAGGCAGCAGUGGGGAAUAUUGGACAAUGGGCGAAAGCCUGAUCCAGCCAUGCCGCGUGUGUGAAGAAGGUCUUCGGAUUGUAAAGCACUUUAAGUUGGGAGGAAGGGCAGUAAAUUAAUACUUUGCUGUUUUGACGUUACCGACAGAAUAAGCACCGGCUAACUCUGUGCCAGCAGCCGCGGUAAUACAGAGGGUGCAAGCGUUAAUCGGAAUUACUGGGCGUAAAGCGCGCGUAGGUGGUUCGUUAAGUUGGAUGUGAAAUCCCCGGGCUCAACCUGGGAACUGCAUUCAAAACUGACGAGCUAGAGUAUGGUAGAGGGUGGUGGAAUUUCCUGUGUAGCGGUGAAAUGCGUAGAUAUAGGAAGGAACACCAGUGGCGAAGGCGACCACCUGGACUGAUACUGACACUGAGGUGCGAAAGCGUGGGGAGCAAACAGGAUUAGAUACCCUGGUAGUCCACGCCGUAAACGAUGUCAACUAGCCUUUGGGAGCCUUGAGCUCUUAGUGGCGCACCUAACGCAUUAAGUUGACCGCCUGGGGAGUACGGCCGCAAGGUUAAAACUCAAAUGAAUUGACCGGGGCCCGCACAAGCGGUGGAGCAUGUGGUUUAAUUCGAAGCAACGCGAAGAACCUUACCAGGCCUUGACAUCCAAUGAACUUUCUAGAGAUAGAUUGGUGCCUUCGGGAACAUUGAGACAGGUGCUGCAUGGCUGUCGUCACCUCCUGUCCUGAAAUGUUGGGUUAAUUCCCGUAACGAGCGCAACCCUUGUCCUUAGUUACCAGCACUUAAUGGUGGGCACUCUAAGGAGACUGCCGGUUACAAACCGGAAGAAGGGGGGGAUGACUUCAAUCAUCAUGGCCCUUAAGGCUGGGGUAC